This 445-nucleotide ribosomal RNA is filed under the name uncultured bacterium. RNAcentral's name for it is "bacterial SSU rRNA". It matches the Rfam family "Bacterial small subunit ribosomal RNA", at positions 354 to 796 of the family's 1533-position model. The record is from RNAcentral.
GUAAGGAAUAUUGGACAAUGGACGCAAGUCUGAUCCAGCCAUGCCGCGUGAAGGAUUAAGGUCCUCUGGAUUGUAAACUUCUUUUAUAAGGGACGAAAAAAGGCUUUUCUAAGUCGUCUGACGGUACCUUAUGAAUAAGCACCGGCUAACUCCGUGCCAGCAGCCGCGGUAAUACGGAGGGUGCAAGCGUUAUCCGGAUUCACUGGGUUUAAAGGGUGCGUAGGCGGGCAGGUAAGUCAGUGGUGAAAUCCUAGAGCUUAACUCUAGAACUGCCAUUGAUACUAUCUGUCUUGAAUAUUGUGGAGGUAAGCGGAAUAUGUCAUGUAGCGGUGAGAUGCUUAGAUAUGACAUAGAACACCUAUUGCGAAGGCAGCUUACUACGCAUAUAUUGACGCUGAGGCACGAAAGCGUGGGGAUCAAACAGGAUUAGAAACCCCAGUAGUCC